Molecule: ribosomal RNA, 718 nt
Filed under: Pycnococcus provasolii
Lineage: Eukaryota; Viridiplantae; Chlorophyta; Pseudoscourfieldiophyceae; Pseudoscourfieldiales; Pycnococcaceae
Description: bacterial SSU rRNA
Rfam family: Eukaryotic small subunit ribosomal RNA
Source: RNAcentral
GCUCGUAGUUGGAUUUCGGGCGUGGAAGUUCGGUCCGCCGUUUCGGUGUGCACUGUUGUUCUGCGUCUUUCUGCCGGGGACGCGCUUCUGGCCUUAAUUGGCUGGGACGUGGAUUCGGCGUGGUUACUUUGAAAAAAUUAGAGUGUUCAAAGCAAGCUAAAGCUCUGAAUACAUUAGCAUGGAAUAACGCGAGAGGACUCGGUCCUUAUUUUGUUGGUCUUCAAGGAUGGAGUAAUGAUUAAGAGGGACGGUUGGGGGCAUUCGUAUUUCAUUGUCAGAGGUGAAAUUCUUGGAUUUAUGAAAGACGAACUACUGCGAAAGCUUCUGCCAAAGACGUUUUCAUUGAUCAAGAACGAAAGUUGGGGGCUCGAAGAUGAUCAGAUACCAUCCUAGUCUCAACCAUAAACGAUGCCGACUAGGGAUUGGCAGGUGUUACAUCGAUGACUCUGCCAGCACCUUAUGAGAAAUCAAAGUUUUUGGGUUCCGGGGGGAGUAUGGUCGCAAGGCUGAAACUUAAAGGAAUUGACGGAAGGGCACCACCAGGAAAACGUAAAGUUCUAUAGUCGCAACUUUCCAUUCCCUGAAAACCAGCAGCCUUCGUGUCUCGCCCUUCCAUUAUCGGGGCGCGGAGGACUUCUCUGCUCUGUUGGUUAGUCACUCUUCACCACUUGUUGCUGUAUCAGGUGAAGGGUUGGCAAGACGUGCAAAUUGCGGGAAA